GAUGAACGCUGGCGGCGUGCCUAAUACAUGCAAGUCGAGCGAACAGACGAGGAGCUUGCUCCUCUGACGUUAGCGGCGGACGGGUGAGUAACACGUGGAUAACCUACCUAUAAGACUGGGAUAACUUCGGGAAACCGGAGCUAAUACCGGAUAAUAUAUUGAACCGCAUGGUUCAAUAGUGAAAGACGGUUUUGCUGUCACUUAUAGAUGGAUCCGCGCCGCAUUAGCUAGUUGGUAAGGUAACGGCUUACCAAGGCGACGAUGCGUAGCCGACCUGAGAGGGGGAUGUGGGCCACAGGGACAGAGACACGCGCUACACACCCAAGGGGGGGGCCAGAGGGGGAAAUUGGACAAAGGGGGAAAAACUGAGCCAGGCAAGCGGCGUGUGGGUAGAAAGGCUUUGGAGUGCAAAAAACUUUGUUUUGGGGGAAAAAGAAGUGUGUAAAUAACUUUCUCUGUUGACGCGAUCAACAGAAAAAAGACCGGGGCAACUUGCG
This 497-nucleotide ribosomal RNA is filed under the name uncultured bacterium. RNAcentral's name for it is "partial 16S ribosomal RNA". It matches the Rfam family "Bacterial small subunit ribosomal RNA", at positions 28 to 507 of the family's 1533-position model. The record is from RNAcentral.